Molecule: long non-coding RNA, 325 nt
Organism: Manacus vitellinus (golden-collared manakin)
Lineage: Eukaryota; Metazoa; Chordata; Aves; Passeriformes; Pipridae
Exons: 3
Source: RefSeq, a predicted model, not a curated record
AGAUCCAAGAGUAACACACAGCAACUGGACUCCAGACAGGAAAUCUAUUACACUGACUGCUCUCAAGUAUCUGCUUUUGGAUGCCUUCCUGAGAUGUAAUCCAGCUAGGAAAACAGGACCCUAGAGCAAUUUCAGUUUUCCUUUGGGUAGAACCUGCAGGACAACACAGAUCCCAUGAGAUCACAGCGUGUUCUGACCCUGUUCAGAGCUGAGGAUCCUCAGGACCUGUGGACCUGCAGCACCAGUUCCUGCUGGGAGGCCUCAGACCUUUUACCAGCAGGUGUUUCAAGACAAACAGUGACAAACUUAACUACGGAUCCUGCUC